Molecule: ribosomal RNA, 116 nt
Filed under: Escherichia coli
Lineage: Bacteria; Pseudomonadati; Pseudomonadota; Gammaproteobacteria; Enterobacterales; Enterobacteriaceae
Source: RNAcentral
CCUGGCGGCCUUAGCGCGGUGGUCCCACCUGACCCCAUGCCGAACUCAGAAGUGAAACGCCUUAGCGCCGAUGGUAGUGUGGGGUCUCCCCAUGCGAGAGUAGGGAACUGCCAGGC